RNAcentral lists this long non-coding RNA (207 nucleotides) under Monodelphis domestica (gray short-tailed opossum). Its description in RNAcentral is "lncRNA (ENSMODG00000038546.1)". Lineage: Eukaryota; Metazoa; Chordata; Mammalia; Didelphimorphia; Didelphidae. The record is from RNAcentral.
UUGAAGUUACCUGGGAUCUGAGGUGCUGCUUUCUCUAUUAACAGGUUUUCCUCAUUCCUUUUUUCAUCCCAGGUUGGUACCUCUGAUUCUUAUUUUUGCCUGCACUCAAGUUCAGUAGACUCAGUGAUGGAAAGAGAACAUGGCACAGUUUCUCCAGUCAGUGCUAAUGAUGAGUAGAACGACAUAAUGGAGAGCAUGCUGCGUACA